RNAcentral lists this ribosomal RNA (253 nucleotides) under uncultured bacterium. RNAcentral describes it as "partial 16S ribosomal RNA". It matches the Rfam family "Bacterial small subunit ribosomal RNA", at positions 524 to 776 of the family's 1533-position model. The record is from RNAcentral.
UACGUAGGGGUCGAGCGUUGUCCGGAGUUACUGGGCGUAAAGCGUGCGCGGGCGGCUCAUUGCGCCCGGCGUGAAAGCCCCCGGCUCAACCGGGGAGGGUCGUCGGGGACGGGUGAGCUUGAGGGUAUCAGGGGUUGGUGGAAUUCCCGGUGUAGUGGUGAAAUGCGUAGAGAUCGGGAGGAACACCAAUGGCGAAGGCAGCUCGCUGGGACGUUACUGACGCUGAGACGCGAAAGCGUGGGGAGCAAACAGG